CCAGACGGCUGGGCGGUCGCGGCGGGACUUGAUCUCGUCGAGGAAAGUCCGGGCUCCACGGUGAAAAGGCGGCGGAUAACUUCCGCCCGGGGCGACCCGAGGGAUAGCGCCACAGAAAGCAAACCUCCGGCCUCGCGAGACCGGUAAGGGUGAAAGGGUGGGGUAAGAGCCCACCGCGUGCCUGGCAACAGGGACGGCAUGGCAAGCCCCGCCUGGAGCAAGACCAAAUAGGGACAUCG
Molecule: RNase P RNA, 239 nt
Filed under: Brevundimonas sp. 32-68-21
Lineage: Bacteria; Pseudomonadati; Pseudomonadota; Alphaproteobacteria; Caulobacterales; Caulobacteraceae
Description: partial RNase P RNA component class A
Rfam family: Bacterial RNase P class A
About the family: Ribonuclease P (RNase P) is a ubiquitous endoribonuclease, found in archaea, bacteria and eukarya as well as chloroplasts and mitochondria. Its best characterised activity is the generation of mature 5'-ends of tRNAs by cleaving the 5'-leader elements of precursor-tRNAs. Cellular RNase Ps are ribonucleoproteins.
Source: RNAcentral